This 440-nucleotide ribosomal RNA is filed under the name uncultured Bacillota bacterium. RNAcentral's name for it is "bacterial SSU rRNA". It matches the Rfam family "Bacterial small subunit ribosomal RNA", at positions 917 to 1359 of the family's 1533-position model. Lineage: Bacteria; Bacillati; Bacillota. The record is from RNAcentral.
GGACCCGCACAAGCAGCGGAGCAUGUGGUUUAAUUCGAAGCAACGCGAAGAACCUUACCAGGGCUUGACAUCCCUCUGACAGGCAUUUAACAGUGCCUUUCUUCGGACAGAGGUGACAGGUGGUGCAUGGUUGUCGUCAGCUCGUGUCGUGAGAUGUUGGGUUAAGUCCCGCAACGAGCGCAACCCUUGUCUUUAGUUGCCAGCAGGUUAAGCUGGGCACUCUAAAGAGACUGCCGGGGAUAACUCGGAGGAAGGUGGGGAUGACGUCAAAUCAUCAUGCCCCUUAUGUUCUGGGCUACACACGUGCUACAAUGGCCGGCACAAUGGGAAGCAAUACAGUGAUGUGGAGCAAAUCACCAAAACCGGUCCCAGUUCGGAUUGUAGGCUGAAACUCGCCUGCAUGAAGUUGGAGUUGCUAGUAAUCGCAGAUCAGAAUGCUG